This 476-nucleotide small RNA is filed under the name Arabidopsis thaliana (thale cress). RNAcentral describes it as "ATSL108180". The record is from RNAcentral. Lineage: Eukaryota; Viridiplantae; Streptophyta; Magnoliopsida; Brassicales; Brassicaceae.
UGGGCAUCUAAGUCACAUGCAUCCCCAUGUUACCAAGUAGUUUGGAACAUCUCACAGAUCAACAUAUACAUUCAUUUACUGAGUCAAUACAUUUAAAAUUACAUAUAGUUUUAGGCUUUCUAUGGCACUAGAUAAUUGAGUCAAAUCAAGUUUUGUUAGAACCGUCUGAUUUACUUGAAUCUUCUCUCUCUAUAUAUAUAAACAAAUAUAGAAAAAUAAAGAACGGAAGAGACAUUAGACCAUCCUUAUUGCAAGUCUCUUACUAUAAAUCUUAGGUAUAAUAUAUAAUCAAAAUAAUAUGUGAAUAGUUUAGAAAAAGUCCUUAGCUAAGAGAUAAAAGAAGGUUUAAGAACUUCAAACCAUUACAAAAACUCUUAGCUAUAAUUUUUUCAAUAAUACAAUUCAUAAAAUAGUUAAGAGAUAAAAUUAAGAGUCUACCAUUAAGGUUGCUCUUAGGUGAUUGGUUUCUCAUUGAA